This is a non-coding RNA of Schistosoma mattheei, 45 nucleotides long. NCBI's taxonomy places the organism in Eukaryota, Metazoa, Platyhelminthes, Trematoda, Strigeidida, Schistosomatidae. The record is from Rfam.
CUCCAGUCGACAAGUCCCAAAUAGAACAAAACACGUGUCCUGGAU